UCCCGUAAACCUCUGCUUCUCUAUAACUGUUUGGGCCAUGACUGUUGGUCCCUAUCUCAAGAUCCCUGUAGUUGAGAUACGUGUGCCUAGGAUUCUUGGUGACGAAAGGAGCCAUGUAGCUGUAGAAGCUUCUGGUCUUUUCCAUGAAACUGUUCUCCGCUUCUAUCCCCGCAUCUUUCCAGUUCAUCGAGUGCUGCACCUUGAAUAGCCUUUUCCUGUGAGGGAAGGGGGUCUUCGUGGUAGGCACUUGGCACAUUAUCCCUCCAUAGGGAUUGAAGACGAGCCCUAGUUUCCCAGUCUCCAUCAACUUGGUAAACAGGAAACCUAGACCUUCUUUGCUGAUCUCUGUCUCCACGUAAUCCGAUUUCCUUUUCAAGAAAGACGCUGAAUCAGGCUCUCUAUCCAGCAGAAUCUCGGGUUUAAUCAGCGUGGCGUUAUCGCUGUUGGCCCACCACAUCACCGACUGUAUCCACGUCAUCUCCGUGCAGUUCUCCGUCCUCAGACCAAGCUCCGGGAAUUCUUUGCCCAGCAGAGACAAGAGGUCGCUCUGUCUCCCCAAGAACAAGGCCACCACCGACGCUCGAACCGUCUGAGUUGUGUUCAUCGUCUUGGGUUGCAAGAGUAGCCUCAUGAACAGAUCCGGGCUUGUCUUGGGAGCAACAAACUGCCAUUUAUGGACCAUGUCUAGUGCAUUUUCCUCUAGCGUUUUCUCCACUCUGAACACAGUCACUGUCGGAGGAACAGCAACGAGUUUUAUCUUGAAGGCUAAGAUCACACCGAAGCUCGCACCUCCCCCGCCUCCAAUCGCCCAGAAAAGAUCCUCUCCCAUCGAUUUCCUAUCAAGAAUCCUCCCGUUCACGUCCACGAUCUUGGCGUCGGUGACGUAAUCAACGGAGAGUCCGUAUUUUCUGAUCAUGUUUCCGUAGCCUCCGCCGCUAAUGUGACCUCCAGCGCCGACGGUGGGACAGACUCCGGCGGGAAAACCAUGAGAUUUGCUUUUCUGCCAAAUGCUGUAAUAAACCUCGCCCAGAGUAGCGCCGGCUCCGACCCAUGCAGAGCCGCCGCCGUCGGCCAUAUCGACCGUGAUGUUACGGAGAUACGACAUGUCGAGGACGAAGUAAGGGCGGUUAGAUAUGUAGGAAACGCCAUCGUAGUCGUGGCCGCCGCUACGAGUCUUGAGCUGGAAGUUGAGAGAUUUGGUACAGAGGACGGUGGCCUGGACGUGGGCCUCCGAACGCGCCGCGAUUACGAUCAAAGGUUUGGGGGAUGUGGAAGUGUUGUAACGCGCGUUUCGGAUGUAGGCACGCAGCGUCGGGGUGAAACUGGCACUGCUCUGUGGCAAAACAACGUCGCAUAGCUUAUUUGGAGCUGUACAUGUUUGGUUGCUGAAACACUUGAGAAAGCUUUCGUAAAUUGGCUGAUUCGACGGGUCGACAGCGAGAGAACUUGAGGCAAGGCUAAGAAAUAUAAUUAAACAAGAGAGUUUCUUCAUCUUUUUUAUUACUAUUAAGAAACUCUCUUGUUCUAUUGUUGUUUUCUUAGCUAAUUGAAUUUCUUGUUGUACGGAGUAUUCUCAUUGGCAUAAAUAGUACACGAGUUCUUCAAAAUUUAGUCAUAGUUCCUAUCUUUAGACAUGGUUAUGACCUGCUAAUGGUCAAAGCGUGAUGUGCGGGUUUCUGAAAUUUCUUGGUUUGUGAUUCAGAGAUCUCUAUAUAGUCAAUUUUUAAGAUCAUUUUCAUUAUGUGAUGUAUGUAUAUGAAAUCUUGAUUGUUAGCAUUGUUUAAUAACAAAUAAAGUUUUGGUAGAGGGCGGAGCUACGUGACAUACGGAGGGGGCAGCUGCCCCCAAUAUUUCUUUUUAAUGAUACUUAAAUGAUCUUAUGCUAACUUCGGGCUUCUUUGGUUAUUUCUGAUGGUGCGGCUUCAUUGGCGGUUUUAAUGCUACAUUGGGUGAUACGAUGUGAAGGAUUGUGUCUUUUAAGUUUAAGGUCUAGUCUUUAUUUCUACUAGAUCUACUUUUAAAUUGUUAAAUUUUUAUUUUAAAUUUUGUGUGAAUGUUAUCAUUUACCCAAUUUUAAAAUCUUGUUACAUUUAUGUAACCAAAAAUUCAUUAUAGUAACACCACUAAAAAAUAAAGAUAAUAUAAGUAGGUUGGAAUUUUUCUUCUUUUUAUUUGUGUUGAAUUUUUGC
RNAcentral lists this long non-coding RNA (2189 nucleotides) under Brassica napus (rape). Its description in RNAcentral is "long non-coding RNA (BNAP_LNC018630)". Lineage: Eukaryota; Viridiplantae; Streptophyta; Magnoliopsida; Brassicales; Brassicaceae. The record is from RNAcentral.